Molecule: ribosomal RNA, 817 nt
Filed under: uncultured bacterium
Lineage: Bacteria
Description: bacterial SSU rRNA
Rfam family: Bacterial small subunit ribosomal RNA
Source: RNAcentral
CGAGCGAGAAGGGGCAACCUGAGUAAAGCGGCGUACGGGUGAGUAACACGUGGAUCAUCUACCCUCUUGUGGGGAAUAACUUUGGGAAACCGAAGCUAAUACCGCAUAAGUCCGAGAGGAGAAAGCAGCAAUGCGCAGGAGGAGGAGUCCGCGGCCGAUUAGCUAGUUGGUGGAGUAAUGGCCCACCAAGGCAACGAUCGGUAGCCGGCCUGAGAGGGCACACGGCCACACUGGCACUGAGACACGGGCCAGACUCCUACGGGAGGCAGCAGUGGGGAAUCUUGCACAAUGGGGGAAACCCUGAUGCAGCGACGCCGCGUGAGCGAUGAAGCCCUUCGGGGUGUAAAGCUCUUUCGACGGGAACGAUUAUGACGGUACCCGGAGAAGAAGCUGCGGCUAACUACGUGCCAGCAGCCGCGGUAAUACGUAGGCAGCAAGCGUUGUUCGGAGUUACUGGGCGUAAAGAGUACGUAGGCGGUUUGCUAAGUCUGGUGUGAAAUCUCCUGGCUUAACCGGGAGGGUGCGCUAGAUACUGGCAGGCUUGAGUAUGGGAGAGGAGAGUGGAAUUCCUGGUGUAGCGGUGAAAUGCGUAGAUAUGCGGAGGAACACCGAUGGCGAAGGCAGCCUCCUGGGCCAGUACUGACGCUCAUGCACGAAAGCGUGGGGAGCAAACAGGAUUAGAUACCCUGGUAGUCCACGCCCUAAACGAUGUCAACUAGUUGUUCGGUGAGGAGACUCAUUGAGUAACGCAGCUAACGCGUGAAGUUGACCGCCUGGGGAGUACGGCCGCAAGGUUAAAACUCAAAGGAAUUGACGG